RNAcentral lists this ribosomal RNA (404 nucleotides) under uncultured bacterium. RNAcentral describes it as "bacterial SSU rRNA". It matches the Rfam family "Bacterial small subunit ribosomal RNA", at positions 355 to 776 of the family's 1533-position model. The record is from RNAcentral.
UGGGGAAUUUUGCGCAAUGGGGGAAACCCUGACGCAGCAACGCCGCGUGCGGGAUGACGGCCUUCGGGUUGUAAACCGCUUUCAGUAGGGAAGAACAUCGACGGUACCUACAGAAGAAGCCCCGGCUAACUACGUGCCAGCAGCCGCGGUAAUACGUAGGGGGCAAGCGUUAUCCGGAUUCAUUGGGCGUAAAGCGCGCGUAGGCGGUUGCCUAAGCGGGACCUCUAAUCUUAGGGCUCAACCUUAAGCCGGGUCCCGAACUGGGUGACUUGAGUGCGGUAGAGGAAAGUGGAAUUCCCGGUGUAGCGGUGGAAUGCGCAGAUAUCGGGAAGAACACCGAUGGCGAAGGCAGCUUUCUGGGCCGCCACUGACGCUGAGGCGCGAAAGCUAGGGGAGCAAACAGG